GGGUAAUGUCUACUGUACCUUUAUCACUGUAGGCACUCGGCCAUGCUGUGGGUGUAGUCACCUUAGACGCUAGUCGUCAAGGGUGUGGUGAGAGGCGGGGUUAGAUGCCCC
Molecule: regulatory RNA element, 111 nt
Organism: Paenibacillus sp.
Lineage: Bacteria; Bacillati; Bacillota; Bacilli; Caryophanales; Paenibacillaceae
Rfam family: epsC RNA
Source: Rfam